AUUGAACGCUGGCGGCAUGCCUUACACAUGCAAGUCGUACGGUAACAGGUCUUCGGAUGCUGACGAGUGGCGAACGGGUGAGUAAUACAUCGGAACGUGCCUAGUAGUGGGGGAUAACUACUCGAAAGAGUGGCUAAUACCGCAUGAGAUCUACGGAUGAAAGCGGGGGAUCGCAAGACCUUGUGCUACUAGAGCGGCCGAUGGCAGAUUAGGUAGUUGGUGGGAUAAAAGCUUACCAAGCCGACGAACUGUAGCUGGUCUGAGAGGACGAUCAGCCACACUGGGACUGAGACACGGCCCAGACUCCUACGGGAGGCAGCAGUGGGGAAUUUUGGACAAUGGGCGCAAGCCUGAUCCAGCAAUGCCGCGUGCAGGAUGAAGGCCUUCGGGUUGUAAACUGCUUUUGUACGGAACGAAAAGCCCCGGGUUAAUACCCUGGGGUCAUGACGGUACCGUAAGAAUAAGCACCGGCUAACUACGUGCCAGCAGCCGCCGUAA
Molecule: ribosomal RNA, 498 nt
Filed under: uncultured bacterium
Lineage: Bacteria
Description: partial 16S ribosomal RNA
Rfam family: Bacterial small subunit ribosomal RNA
Source: RNAcentral